CUACGCACUCCUACGGGAGGCAGCAGUGGGGAAUAUUGCACAAUGGGCGCAAGCCUGAUGCAGCCAUGCCGCGUGUAUGAAGAAGGCCUUCGGGUUGUAAAGUACUUUCAGCAGUGAGGAAGGUGGGUAUGUUAAUAGCAUAUUCAUUUGACGUUAGCUGCAGAAGAAGCACCGGCUAACUCCGUGCCAGCAGCCGCGGUAAUACGGAGGGUGCGAGCGUUAAUCGGAAUUACUGGGCGUAAAGCGCAUGCAGGUGGUUUGUUAAGUCAGAUGUGAAAGCCCGGGGCUCAACCUCGGAAUUGCAUUUUGAAAACUGGCAAACUAGAGUACUGUAGAGGGGGUAGAAUUUCAGGUGUAGCGGUGAAAUGCGUAGAGAUCUGAAGGAAUACCGGUGGCGAAGGCGGCCCCCUGGACAGAUACUGACACUCAGAUGCGAAAGCGUGGGGAGCAAACAGGAUUAGAUACCCUGGUAG
Molecule: ribosomal RNA, 473 nt
Filed under: uncultured bacterium
Lineage: Bacteria
Description: bacterial SSU rRNA
Rfam family: Bacterial small subunit ribosomal RNA
Source: RNAcentral